RNAcentral lists this transfer RNA (74 nucleotides) under Rikenellaceae bacterium. Its description in RNAcentral is "tRNA-His". It matches the Rfam family "tRNA". From Rfam's summary of the family: Transfer RNA (tRNA) molecules are approximately 80 nucleotides in length. Their secondary structure includes four short double-helical elements and three loops (D, anti-codon, and T loops). Lineage: Bacteria; Pseudomonadati; Bacteroidota; Bacteroidia; Bacteroidales; Rikenellaceae. The record is from RNAcentral.
GUGGGUGUAGCUCACUCGGUUAGAGCGUCUGAUUGUGGUCCAGAAGGUAGUCGGUUCGAUCCCGAUCACCCACC